RNAcentral lists this ribosomal RNA (778 nucleotides) under uncultured beta proteobacterium. Its description in RNAcentral is "bacterial SSU rRNA". It matches the Rfam family "Bacterial small subunit ribosomal RNA", at positions 67 to 837 of the family's 1533-position model. Lineage: Bacteria; Pseudomonadati; Pseudomonadota; Betaproteobacteria. The record is from RNAcentral.
CGGCAGCAUAGGUGCUUGCACCUGAUGGCGAGUGGCGAACGGGUGAGUAAUGCAUCGGAACGUGCCCAGUCGUGGGGGAUAACGCAGCGAAAGUUGUGCUAAUACCGCAUACGAUCUAUGGAUGAAAGCGGGGGACCUUCGGGCCUCGCGCGAUUGGAGCGGCCGAUGUUAGAUUAGGUAGUUGGUGGGGUAAAGGCUCACCAAGCCAACGAUCUAUAGCUGGUCUGAGAGGACGACCAGCCACACUGGAACUGAGACACGGUCCAGACUCCUACGGGAGGCAGCAGUGGGGAAUUUUGGACAAUGGGCGAAAGCCUGAUCCAGCAAUACCGCGUGCAGGAAGAAGGCCUUCGGGUUGUAAACUGCUUUUGUACGGAACGAAACGGCGCGCUCUAAUAAAGUGCGCUAAUGACGGUACCGUAAGAAUAAGCACCGGCUAACUACGUGCCAGCAGCCGCGGUAAUACGUAGGGUGCGAGCGUUAAUCGGAGUUACUGGGCGUAAAGCGUGCGCAGGCGGUUUUGUAAGACAGGCGUGAAAUCCCCGGGCUCAACCUGGGAAUUGCGCUUGUGACUGCAAGGCUAGAGUACGGUAGAGGGGGGUAGAAUUCCGCGUGUAGCAGUGAAAUGCGUAGAUAUGCGGAGGAACACCGAUGGCGAAGGCAGCCCCCUGGACCUGUACUGACGCUCAUGGCACGAAAGCGUGGGGAGCAAACAGGAUUAGAUACCCUGGUAGUCCACGCCCUAAACGAUGUCAACUGGUUGUUGGGAAUUUACUUU